AACGUACAACCCGCCCGACCCGCAAGGGAAGGGGGGGGAAUGUGUGACCAGGCGCGCAAAUUCGAAACUGGGAGUGGCCACACUUUCACACCGCCAUACCAAACAGUCGCUCGCUUCGAAAGUCCUCGUGACGAGUAGCGGUGGGUUUCUGGGCGGCUCUCGCUGUGUGCUUCUGACCUAUCAACUAGAUGGCAGCGCAUGCUAUGGUGACAACGGGUACAGAGGAUAAGGGUUCGAUCCUGGAGAGUGGGCCUGAGAGAUUGCUCACACUUCUAAGGAAGGCAGCAGGCGCGCAACGUUCCCAUUGGGCAAAGCUCGAGGGCGUUAGGGGACAUAUGAAUGCCUGCCUUAUGGUGGGCAAUUCAAAUGGGGCUGUUUUAAAUAUCCUAUCGAGUAACAAUUAGAGGACAA
RNAcentral lists this ribosomal RNA (411 nucleotides) under Badhamia albescens. RNAcentral's name for it is "bacterial SSU rRNA". It matches the Rfam family "Eukaryotic small subunit ribosomal RNA", at positions 168 to 558 of the family's 1831-position model. Lineage: Eukaryota; Evosea; Eumycetozoa; Physariida; Physaraceae. The record is from RNAcentral.